Molecule: ribosomal RNA, 253 nt
Filed under: uncultured bacterium
Lineage: Bacteria
Description: partial 16S ribosomal RNA
Rfam family: Bacterial small subunit ribosomal RNA
Source: RNAcentral
UACGUAGGGCGCGAGCGUUGUCCGGAUUUAUUGGGCGUAAAGAGCUCGUAGGCGGCUUGUCGCGUCGUUCGUGAAAACCCGGGGCUCAACUCCGGGCUUGCGGGCGAUACGGGCAGGCUAGAGUUCGGUAGGGGAGACUGGAAUUCCUGGUGUAGCGGUGAAAUGCGCAGAUAUCAGGAGGAACACCGGUGGCGAAGGCGGGUCUCUGGGCCGAUACUGACGCUGAGGAGCGAAAGCGUGGGGAGCGAACAGG